This 253-nucleotide ribosomal RNA is filed under the name uncultured bacterium. Its description in RNAcentral is "partial 16S ribosomal RNA". It matches the Rfam family "Bacterial small subunit ribosomal RNA", at positions 524 to 776 of the family's 1533-position model. The record is from RNAcentral.
UACGGGGGGGGCAAGCGUUGUUCGGAAUUACUGGGCGUAAAGGGCUCGUAGGCGGCCAACUAAGUCCGACGUGAAAUCCCCAGGCUUAACCUGGGAACUGCGUCGGAUACUGGAUGGCUUGAAUCCGGGAGAGGGAUGCGGAAUUCCAGGUGUAGCGGUGAAAUGCGUAGAUAUCAUUUGGAACGCCAAUGGUGAAAACAGGUAGCUGGGGAAGUGCUGACGCUGAGACACGAAAGCCAGGGGAGCGAACGGG